CAGCCUUUAUUUUCUAAAAAAACAAGCAAACCAGCUGCCCCGGACACUCGCGAUACACGGAAACUUUCUCGACCUCGGAACGUCUAAGGAAAGCCUAGGACUGGAAAUUUAUUUAACAUGCUGCAACUUUGCUAGAUCAGUGGUCGAAAUAUGCAAAUUAAAAAAACCAUGCAGCUGCCUGGGAUACUCGUGAUACACGGAAACUUUAUCUUGACGUCUGAGGAUAGCAGUAUAAUCCUAGAACUCUGCAACUUUUCUAGAUGAAACUCAUUGUUCGAAAUGUGAAAUUAGCUCGUUGAAAAAAAACAGGCGAAAAAUACUUCAAGCAGUGGAACUUGUGCACUCCAAAUGUGGAGGCUCUAUUUUCCUGAGGAAAGUCUCACGUGGAUUCCUAAAGAGCGAACAAGCACAAAAAUAAUUAACCUUGAUUACA
Neocloeon triangulifer is the source of this 433-nucleotide long non-coding RNA. RefSeq lists it as uncharacterized. Lineage: Eukaryota; Metazoa; Arthropoda; Insecta; Ephemeroptera; Baetidae. The transcript has 4 exons. The record is from RefSeq and is a predicted model, not a curated record.